Molecule: transfer RNA, 72 nt
Filed under: Ruminococcus sp.
Lineage: Bacteria; Bacillati; Bacillota; Clostridia; Eubacteriales; Oscillospiraceae
Also listed under: 4 other names
Description: tRNA-Glu
Rfam family: tRNA
About the family: Transfer RNA (tRNA) molecules are approximately 80 nucleotides in length. Their secondary structure includes four short double-helical elements and three loops (D, anti-codon, and T loops).
Source: RNAcentral
GGUCUGUUGGUCAAGCGGUUAAGACGCCGCCCUCUCACGGCGGAAACAGGGGUUCGAUUCCCCUACAGACUG